This 949-nucleotide long non-coding RNA is filed under the name Pan troglodytes (chimpanzee). Its description in RNAcentral is "long non-coding RNA NONPTRT015534". Lineage: Eukaryota; Metazoa; Chordata; Mammalia; Primates; Hominidae. The record is from RNAcentral.
UUUUAGAAUGAAGUGUCUAUGUUGAAAAAUGAGGUGGCCCAGCUGAAACAGUUGUUGUUAACACAUAAAGACUGCCCAAUAACAGCCAUGCAGAAAGAAUCACAAGGAUAUCUAAGUCCAGAGAGUAGCCCUCCUGCUAGUCCUGUCCCAGCUUGCUCCCAGCAACAAGUCAUCCAGCAUAAUACCAUCACUACUUCCUCAUCGGUCAGCGAGGUGGUAGGAAGCUCCACCCUCAGCCAGCUCACCACUCACAGAACAGACCUGAAUCCGAUUCUUUAAAAUGCACCAUCAGACCUGGCCUCCAAGAAGAGCUGUAGCGUACCAUGCGUCCUUUCUUUUAAGGGCAUUUUUAGAAUUAACUCAGACCUGGAAGACUCCUCAGUUCUUCAAAGACUGGCUUUCAUUUUUAUAGUUACUAUGGAAAUGUUGUCUUUUAUACUUAGUUAUAUAAGAAAAAAGGGAGUUAUGCAAUUAAUAUCUAUCAGCUUGGGAAACGCUUUGGUGCUUUUCUCCAAUUUUCUGGUACCAGUUACUUGUUUAUAAACUGAACCUUUUCUGUAUAUAGCCAUGGUUUCAUUCUUAUCAGUCCAACCCUUUGCCUGAAACAUUGAAUCUUGUUAAACCACAGCUUUUAGCCAAAAUGAGGUAUACCUAGAUGUCAAGUAAGACAGAUCCAAGGUAACUGGGUAGGAAAUCUUUUGACAUCUUAACUCAUGUUGAGUUUGUGCUGUGGUGUCACCAGAAUUCCAGAUAAACACACAGCCUUUCCCAUACCUUUUUUUUCCUUACUAUAAAAUAUUAUAAGAUCCAUUGAUGUCCAAAUAAUACCACCGAGCAUCUCUUCACCUCUCCUCCUCUUGGUCCACUUGCUAAUGCCCAGUUUUCUUCUCCAUUUCCACUUUUUCUUAGGCUCCCUAUUUACUAUUCAUUUUGACUUCCUUCUGUUUUA